GUCCCUGUGGUGCAAACAGUUGAUGUGCUUGGCUACUAACCAAAAGGUUGGUGGUUCAAAUCCACCCAGAAGCA
RNAcentral lists this transfer RNA (74 nucleotides) under Loxodonta africana (African savanna elephant). It matches the Rfam family "tRNA". From Rfam's summary of the family: Transfer RNA (tRNA) molecules are approximately 80 nucleotides in length. The record is from Rfam by way of RNAcentral. Lineage: Eukaryota; Metazoa; Chordata; Mammalia; Proboscidea; Elephantidae.